This 465-nucleotide ribosomal RNA is filed under the name uncultured bacterium. Its description in RNAcentral is "SSU rRNA". It matches the Rfam family "Bacterial small subunit ribosomal RNA", at positions 26 to 518 of the family's 1533-position model. The record is from RNAcentral.
AGGACUAACACUGGCGGCGUGCCUAACACAUGCAAGUCGAACGAAGUAGCAAUACUUAGUGGCAGACGGGUGAGUAACACGUAGUCAACCUGCCCUUCAAUGGGGGAUAACUAGCCGAAAGGUUAGCUAAUACCGCAUACGAUCUCUGAGUGGCAUCACUCGGCGAUGAAAGGAGUAAUCCGUUGAAGGAGGGGACUGCGUCCCAUUAGUUAGUUGGUGGGGUAAUGGCCUACCAAGACUCCGAUGGGUAGCUGGCUUGAGAGAGCGACCAGCCACACUGGAACUGAGACACGGUCCAGACUCCUACGGGAGGCAGCAGUGAGGAAUUUUCCGCAAUGGGGGAAACCCUGACGGAGCGACGCCGCGUGUGGGAAGAAGGCCUUCGGGUCGUAAACCACUGUCGAGGGGGACGAUAUUGACGGUACCCCUGGAGGAAGCCCCGGCUAACUACGUGCCAGCAGCCGC